GAAUGCUUAAGCAAUAACCAAUCAAUGCCCAGAGUUAUGUUUGUCGCAAGAUCUGGGUGCAUUAUUUUCUAGAUCUAUAACUGACUGAAGUACAUAAAGUGCUACUCAGCCUGUGGCUAGACAAGUUUUUCCAUGAUGUAGGUGUUGCAUUUUGCACAUAGCCUGUCAAAAAAGUUUGCUAGCUGGUAAUUUAACCCUUUCUUAAGAUUUAUUUGUACCCUUACUUGUGUCUGUUAAGUUGUUGCAGCCUUCAAGGCCUUGGUUUGCACCAGCUUUGCCCACUUUGAUUUUGGUGCUAAAGAAAGAAAAAUGAAAAAUUCUCUUCUAUGCCUGUCUUCGUUCAGUUUUG
RNAcentral lists this unclassified non-coding RNA (349 nucleotides) under Hevea brasiliensis (rubber tree). The record is from RNAcentral. Lineage: Eukaryota; Viridiplantae; Streptophyta; Magnoliopsida; Malpighiales; Euphorbiaceae.